UCUUGCCAGGAGACUAAGCAUGUAGAUGUUUUGCAGGGGUUUAUUUCGGACGGGAGUUCGAAUCUCCCCGCCUCCACUU
Molecule: transfer-messenger RNA, 79 nt
Filed under: Fidelibacterota bacterium
Lineage: Bacteria; Pseudomonadati; Fidelibacterota
Description: partial transfer-messenger RNA
Rfam family: transfer-messenger RNA
About the family: Bacterial tmRNA, also known as 10Sa RNA or SsrA, is named for its dual tRNA and mRNA-like properties. Its role is to liberate the mRNA from a stalled ribosome. To accomplish this part of the tmRNA is used as a reading frame that ends in a translation stop signal.
Source: RNAcentral